UUAACCUGUCCUCACGUUCCGAAUAAUUGGCCNUUAUCNCUUGUAAUCCGGGCGAGGGCCACCGAAAGGCAUCUUUUGGUGUAGGAACGCGCAAGUGGCGCGAGGAGGGGAUCGCGGCUUAUCAGCUUGUUGGUGGGGUAACGGCCUACCAAGGCGACGACGAGUAGCUGGUCUGAGAGGAUGGUCAGCCACAUUGGAACUGAGAUACUGUCCAGACUCCUACGGGAGGCUGCAGUCGAGAAUCUUGGGCAAUGCACGAAAGUGUGACCCAGCGACGCCGCGUGAAGGAUGAAGGAGCUCUGCUUCGUAAACUUCUUUUAUCGGAGGAGAACGCCCUUCAGGGCUUGACGGUACCCGAUGAAUAAGCCACGGCUAACUACGUGCCAGCAGCCGCGGUAAUACGUAGGUGGCAAGCGUUGUCCGGAUUUACUGNGCGUAAAGCGUGCGCAUGCGGAAGUGUAAGUAGGAAGUGAAAGGUGGGAGCUUAACUCCCACACUGCUCCCUAUACUGCACUUCNUUGAAUGCCGGAGAGGACNAGGNAACGACACGUGUAGCGGUGAAAUGCGUUGAGAUGUGUCGGAACGCCAAUGGCCGAAAGCACNUUGUCUGGACGGAAAAUUGACUG
This 626-nucleotide ribosomal RNA is filed under the name uncultured bacterium. RNAcentral's name for it is "bacterial SSU rRNA". It matches the Rfam family "Bacterial small subunit ribosomal RNA", at positions 121 to 745 of the family's 1533-position model. The record is from RNAcentral.